Molecule: ribosomal RNA, 484 nt
Filed under: uncultured bacterium
Lineage: Bacteria
Description: partial 16S ribosomal RNA
Rfam family: Bacterial small subunit ribosomal RNA
Source: RNAcentral
AUUGAACGCUGGCGGCAUGCUUUACACAUGCAAGUCGAACGGCAGCGCGGGCUUCGGCCUGGCGGCGAGUGGCGAACGGGUGAGUAAUGCAUCGGAACGUGCCCAGCCGUGGGGGAUAGCACGGCGAAAGCCGGCUUAAUACCGCAUACGACCUGAGGGUGAAAGCGGGGGAUCGAAAGGCCUCGCGCUAUUUGAUCUGCCGAUGGCGGAGUAGCUCGGUGGUGUGGUAAAGGCGUACCGAGGCGACGGACCGUAGCUGGGCUGAGAGGACGACCAGCCAAACCGGGACUGGGACACGGCCCAGACUCCUACGGGAGGCAGCAGGGGGGAAUUUUGGACAAUGGGGGCAACCCUGAUCCAGCCAUGCCGCGUGCGGGAAGGAGGCCUUCGGGUUGUAAACCGCUUUUGUUCGGGAAGAAAUCCUCUGGGCUAAUACCCCGGGGGGAUGACGGUACCGGAAGAAUAAGCACCGGCUAACUACGUG